GGAGAAGGGUCGUGAUGGGGAAGCCUAUGAUUGAUAUUCCCAUUAGCCGCCUGACAAGGACAAACAACCCUCCUGUAUGAAUGCGGAUGCAGGAACAUCGGAGGUGCUUCUUCACUUCCUAAAAGGGAUUCAUUGCUUCUUUAAUGUUGUGUAAAAUGCACUCAGAGACUUCAGCCAAAUGGAGAUAAAGUCCACUUGACUGAUAUAAUGUUUCCUAGACAAUUUGAGGCUAUAAAAA
RNAcentral lists this long non-coding RNA (238 nucleotides) under Cottoperca gobio. RNAcentral describes it as "lncRNA (ENSCGOG00000016773.1)". Lineage: Eukaryota; Metazoa; Chordata; Actinopteri; Perciformes; Bovichtidae. The record is from RNAcentral.